GGCUGGGGGGUGUCUCCUUUGAAAACCCCGGGCCUGGGGGUCAAGGGCACAGACCAGGGGGUGCCCUGUCCCUCCCUCUUCGAAUCACCAUUUUGCAUUUGAGCCUGAAGCCCCCAUUCCUGCAGUUGUCUUGCACUGUUUCCGCAGGCUAGCACAUUCCUGCCUUGCUUUGUUUUGCUUUUAGGGUUUCCACCCCCCCCCCUUCCAAAGAAAGGUUAAUACUUUGUGUGUCUUUGCCAGGACUCAAGUCCUGGCUAGUUUUGGGAUUAGGGGCCAAUGGCUUCAUUCCUCUGAGCCUAGAUUUGGGACGUGGGACAAAUUUCUCUCUUUCAAGCUUCCCUCCCCUUAUCUGUGAGGCAGGGACGUUAGCUCUGGCCUCAGAGUUUGCCCCGAGGGCCACAUCAGGCCGUGAGCAUGCCAGGGCUGUCCCUGUGAGUCGCCACUCACUUUUGCCUCCAUUUCUGUAGUAAUUCUUUUCCUUUCACCCAAAUCGGGCACAGGGCUGGGCAUGUGCCGGGAUUCUUGUUAAGUUGUACUGAACCGAAUUUUCUAGGCCAAGGAUCCCCACUGAAGUUGGACGGACUAGCCAAGCUCCGGACCGUUCGGGAAGCGCCAUCUGAGUGUGUCUGCCCCCCAGGGCCCCCCGGACGUCGAGGAAAGCCUGGGAAAAGAGGCGACCCCGGUCCUCCGGUAAGUGUCCUGGACUGCGCUCUCUGCUCCCGAAAGAUAAGACAUUUGGUAUUUUCUCUGCAGUGCUUCGGUGAAAAUAAUGUUUGGUUAGAGGGGUGUGUCCUUAAAAAAAAAAAAUCAGUCUUAGACAGGGGCCACAUUAUUUUCCAAUUUGUAGGUGAGUGCAAGCAGUGAGUUCCACGGGCUUGACUUGCCCCGAAACAUUCUGGGACCGUUUCCCUUCCAAGAGAGCUGGCCCUCGCCUGGCUGCGCCUCACCAAGGCUUGGCUCAGCUUGGUGGGCAGGAUGCAAGCACCAUGCCUGUGGCUUUGAAACGCUCUGUGGCAACUGGCAUUUUCAAACGCUUUUGUCUCAAAUACGUUGGCAGAAAGGGCGCUAGAGUGAGGCACUUGUUCCAGGAAUAGGUUGGGCUUGAUCAGCAGACCCUGGGGCCAUCUUUCUCGUUUGCCAGAGGAUGCAUGGGACAG
This 1157-nucleotide long non-coding RNA is filed under the name Microcebus murinus (gray mouse lemur). Its description in RNAcentral is "lncRNA (ENSMICG00000048536.1)". Lineage: Eukaryota; Metazoa; Chordata; Mammalia; Primates; Cheirogaleidae. The record is from RNAcentral.